ACCCUUCGGGGUUAGUGGCGGACGGGUGAGUAACACGUGGGAACGUGCCUUUAGGUUCGGAAUAGCUCCUGGAAACGGGUGGUAAUGCCGAAUGUGCCCUUCGGGGGAAAGAUUUAUCGCCUUUAGAGCGGCCCGCGUCUGAUUAGCUAGUUGGUGAGGUAAUGGCUCACCAAGGCGACGAUCAGUAGCUGGUCUGAGAGGAUGGCCAGCCACAUUGGGACUGAGACACGGCCCAAACUCCUACGGGAGGCAGCAGUGGGGAAUCUUGCGCAAUGGGCGAAAGCCUGACGCAGCCAUGCCGCGUGAAUGAUGAAGGUCUUAGGAUUGUAAAAUUCUUUCACCGGGGACGAUAAUGACGGUACCCGGAGAAGAAGCCCCGGCUAACUUCGUGCCAGCAGCCGCGGUAAUACGAAGGGGGCUAGCGUUGCUCGGAAUUACUGGGCGUAAAGGGCGCGUAGGCGGACAUUUAAGUCAGGGGUGAAAUCCCAGAGCUCAACUCUGGAACUGCCUUUGAUACUGGGUGUCUUGAGUGUGAGAGAGGUAUGUGGAACUCCGAGUGUAGAGGUGAAAUUCGUAGAUAUUCGGAAGAACACCAGUG
Molecule: ribosomal RNA, 598 nt
Filed under: uncultured Brevundimonas sp.
Lineage: Bacteria; Pseudomonadati; Pseudomonadota; Alphaproteobacteria; Caulobacterales; Caulobacteraceae
Description: bacterial SSU rRNA
Rfam family: Bacterial small subunit ribosomal RNA
Source: RNAcentral